GUGAGGAAUAUUGCGCAAUGGAGGCAACUCUGACGCAGCCAUGCCGCGUGCAGGAAGAAGGCUCUACGCGUUGUAAACUGCUUUUAACCGGGAAGAAACCCCAGGACGUGUCCUGGGUUGACGGUACCGGAGGAAUAAGCACCGGCUAACUUCGUGCCAGCAGCCGCGGUAAUACGAAGGGUGCAAGCGUUAUCCGGAUUCAUUGGGUUUAAAGGGUGCGUAGGCGGAGCGUUAAGUCAGUGGUGAAAUCCUGCAGCUUAACUGUAGACUUGCCAUUGAUACUGGCGCUCUUGAGUGCGCUUGAAGUGGGCGGAAUGUGCCGUGUAGCGGUGAAAUGCUUAGAUAUGGCACAGAACACCAAUUGCGAAGGCAGCUCACUAAGGCGAUACUGACGCUGAGGCACGAAAGCGUGGGGAUCGAACAGGAUUAGAAACCCGAGUAGUCC
This 445-nucleotide ribosomal RNA is filed under the name uncultured bacterium. Its description in RNAcentral is "partial 16S ribosomal RNA". It matches the Rfam family "Bacterial small subunit ribosomal RNA", at positions 354 to 796 of the family's 1533-position model. The record is from RNAcentral.